UUUAAAAUAAAAUAAUGAUAUAGAUUUAUUUACUUACAGUACAUUGUUUGUAUAUAAUAUUCAUAUUAUUAAACUGUGGAAACACAAAUUUCUAUAACUCAGUACAUUUUGCAUAUUAUUGAAUUCGGAUUGUAGUACAUGAUUUUCAAGUUGAAACUCAUACACAUAACUUAAUUUUUUUAAGUGUGAAUCUCCAUUUCAAUAUCAUUUUCUGAUUGGUCAACAUUUUUAAAGUUUUUUUGUUGCAUCUAUUUGUAUUCUAAAUUCAAAAAUUGAUGAAUGAGUGUACCAAAACACCUCCUCCUAAAUUUAAUUGUACUGUGGCAAUGAUCAUCAGCACUCAUCUACAGAAAACAUAAAAGACAAACUAAUCCAUAUUUAAAUUUACAAUAGUUAUUAAAUAAUACCUAAUGUGUUUGUUUUAUUCCAUGCAAUGUUUAUGUCCAAAAGAGCAUGUUGUUUAAUUAUUAUUUUUAAUUUUAAAUAUUUAAUUUUAAUGUAAUUAUUUUUUAUUUUGCUUACUUAAUUUGCAUUAAUUAUUUAUUAAAAACCCAUUUUAUGUGUAGUUUAUUUGUUUUUAUAGUAUACAACUUAUUGUUAAAUAAACCAAAUUAAAUAUUUCCUAUACCUAUACUCUGUUCCAUCUAAGAGUGAACCACUCAACCGAACAAAAUCCGUUUUUUUCGCGCAUCCCCACCACAAUCCGGACAUUGGUGAGGGCGUUAGCACAGGCGCCUGAUGACUGCCUGCGAUGACUUUUGGCCAAUCACAGAAAG
Molecule: long non-coding RNA, 776 nt
Organism: Acyrthosiphon pisum (pea aphid)
Lineage: Eukaryota; Metazoa; Arthropoda; Insecta; Hemiptera; Aphididae
Exons: 2
Source: RefSeq, a predicted model, not a curated record